AUCACUUCUUGGCCCUUUAGCUAAGAUCAAGUGUAGUACCUGUUUUUAUUAGUUUAAUAUCUGAUAUGUUCUCUAUGUGAGGACAAUAUAUUAAAUGGAUUUUUGGACUUGGAAGAAGGACCACGCACCAACCUGGUAUUGCAGUACCUACAGGAAUGGUGCACCCCUG
This is a small nuclear RNA of Cavia porcellus (domestic guinea pig), 169 nucleotides long. Its record names the gene U2. It matches the Rfam family "U2 spliceosomal RNA". From Rfam's summary of the family: U2 is a small nuclear RNA (snRNA) component of the spliceosome (involved in pre-mRNA splicing). Complementary binding between U2 snRNA (in an area lying towards the 5' end but 3' to hairpin I) and the branchpoint sequence (BPS) of the intron results the bulging out of an unpaired adenosine, on the BPS, which initiates a nucleophilic attack at the intronic 5' splice site, thus starting the first of two transesterification reactions that mediate splicing. Lineage: Eukaryota; Metazoa; Chordata; Mammalia; Rodentia; Caviidae. The record is from Ensembl.